CCUACGGGAGGCUGCAGUAGGGAAUCUUCCACAAUGGGCGAAAGCCUGAUGCAGCAACGCCGCGUGGGUGAAGAAGGCCUUCGGAUCGUAAAACCCUGUUGUUAGAGAAGAAAGUGCGUGAGAGUAACUGUUCACGUUUCGACGGUAUCUAACCAGAAAGCCACAGCUAACUACGUGCCAGCAGCCGCGGUAAUACGUAGGUGGCAAGCGUUAUCCGGAUUUAUUGGGCGUAAAGGGAACGCAGGCGGUCUUUUAAGUCUGAUGUGAAAGCCUUCGGCUUAACCGGAGUAGUGCAUUGGAAACUGGGAGACUUGAGUGCAGAAGAGGAGAGUGGAACUCGAUGUGUAGCGGUGAAAUGCGUAGAGAUAUCGAAGAACACCAGUGGCGAAGGCGGCUCUCUGGUCUGUAACUGACGCUGAGGUUCGAAAGCGUGGGUAGCAAACAGGAUUAGAUACCCGAGUAGUC
RNAcentral lists this ribosomal RNA (465 nucleotides) under uncultured bacterium. RNAcentral's name for it is "partial 16S ribosomal RNA". It matches the Rfam family "Bacterial small subunit ribosomal RNA", at positions 338 to 795 of the family's 1533-position model. The record is from RNAcentral.